UACGAAGGGGGCUAGCGUUGCUCGGAAUCACUGGGCGUAAAGCGCACGUAGGCGGAUUGCUAAGUCAGGGGUGAAAUCCCGAGGCUCAACCUCGGAACUGCCUUUGAUACUGGGGAUCUCGAGUCCGGGAGAGGUGAGUGGAACUGCGAGUGUAGAGGUGAAAUUCGUAGAUAUUCGCAAGAACACCAGUGGCGAAGGCGGCUCACUGGCCCGGAACUGACGCUGAGGUGCGAAAGCGUGGGGGAGCAAACAGG
This 254-nucleotide ribosomal RNA is filed under the name uncultured bacterium. RNAcentral describes it as "partial 16S ribosomal RNA". It matches the Rfam family "Bacterial small subunit ribosomal RNA", at positions 524 to 776 of the family's 1533-position model. The record is from RNAcentral.